Molecule: non-coding RNA, 3332 nt
Organism: Lolium perenne
Lineage: Eukaryota; Viridiplantae; Streptophyta; Magnoliopsida; Poales; Poaceae
Source: RefSeq, a predicted model, not a curated record
UCGCCCCCACCCUCGCCGUUCCAAACCCUAACACAUCUUGCUGGCGGCGGCGGCUACCAGAAAUAGCACGACCAAUGGGCAGCCGGCUACGGGGACGGCGAGAAGUGGCGGCGGGGGACAGUGGUUCCUGUAUGGUGGCGAGGAAGAUUGGUCGUUGUUCUCUUCGAUAACCUCGCACCGGAGGGGCGUGGGCAGCCAAGUUGGCCCUCCGUGGCACCGUCGCCGCCACACGCCGUGCCGAGGGCCGCCACCGAUGGUGGCAAGGAGAAGCACACGCUCGGAAGCGGCGCCAGCCUCCAUCUCCGGCUCCUUUUAGUCGCCCACGGCAGCCGGCCGCGAUCAGCCUCCUCCACCCCACCCUUCUUCGUUCCUCAAAUGGAGGAGCACGAGCAACCCUGCUGCCAUUGCUACUCCCGCAUCUUCCUCAUCGGUGCUGAAGAGGAGCACGAGAAGCCAUCACUGCAAAGAUAGAGAUGGAUUAGGAGAUGCAGGGGGGCUGCUACAGUCAAAGGCUAACGUGAAAUGCCUGAUCUGUUGUGACCUCAGCUCCACCCGAUCUUGCAGAUUUGCACCUUUCCCAGAUGCUUUUUAAUCUAUGCCUAAGGUGCUCGAUGAAACUCCAAACAGGCUGACAUGGAAGAUUUAGCUAUGUGAUAUUUGUUCUUUGUUGUGUACAUACUAAUUUUUUUCUUCUCAAUUGAGCUCCAGUCAACUAUAAAUUUGUAGUCCAUCUGGCUUUGGUCAGAUCUAUCUAGGAAAGAAAAGAGAAAGAGUUUGGUGAAAAAGAAUAUGUUUUUCCCCUGUGAACAGAGUCAAGUUUGUUCUUGCCUUUUGACGUUAUGGUCUGUGGUACAAUAUGCUGGAAAGUGGCAAUUAGACAUUCUAAUAUUCUUUUGCAUAUCUUUUGCAUGAAUUUGGGGCUACUACAUCAUUCCAUUUGGUUGAACUUCCUAAAAAUCAAAGGGACAUGUUGGACUUUCAAGAUAUAAUAUCUCAGGUCUUAAACUUCUCAUUUCUGUUGCCAAACUGUUUGAAUAAGUUCGACUUUAGUGUUCUUUAGACAGUUGACAUCAUUUGUUCAAAAUUGUAUUCAGCUCUGCAAGAGUUUUCUCAUGGUAAUUGAAAGAGGUUUUUGUAAUUCGAAUCUGACACAAGUGCAAAACAGACACGGUAAGCUACUCACUAUAGUUUUAGAUAUAUGUUCUUUACUGUAGACAUGGGAAAUAUAAAAUAUCUGCAGGUGAUUAGAUAAUGUGACUCUUCCCCUAUUCUCCCCCAUUAGCCAUUUGCGUACCUUAUUUAUAAUUGAGCACUUACGUCUACUUCUAGGUAUGAUGGUCAUCACGUCCAGAUUCAUAGAUUAGCUAUUAGUAUUGGAUAUGUGCAAUUAUUUUCAGGUCAAGUGAAAAAAUAAACUUCUUGAUGUCCUGAUAGAUCAUCGAGUUGUCCAGCAUAGAGGUGGCCAGCUUUAUGCUAGAAUGCUGAAGUAAGUCUGAUUCAUGAGAAAAAAAACUCAGAAGCAGCGUUCUUGGUGGCUUGGAGGUGCAGGGAUUAGAGGUUUCAAAAAUUGGAAGUGGUAUUGGAGAUUCUUUAGAACAUUAAUAGAGGAGUUUAUUUUGAAGUAAGUGUGGGAAAAAGAAAACCUGGAUAGAUUAAAGAGGCUUCAGCUGGCCGCCACCGCUCGGAAAGUAGUACGAGGAGGAGGGGGACGAGGGUAGGAGUCUCCUGCAACCGAUGGAUUUCUCCGUCCCCCGGAACAUUCCCGCAUCGAGGGGAUGGACUCAAACGGUGGCGAACAACAGGGGGUGCAGCGCAUCCAUGGAUGGGGGCGACGCCUGUUGGAUCGACAUCGAAGGAUUCUGUCACCGCUACCCCCUGCACCAGGCGCCAGCUCCUCCCUCCCCACCGAUGUAGGCCACCUCGUCGGUAGCUCCGUCCUCACCGCCCCAGCCGCCUAGGCGAGAUAAGGUGCUUCUGGUCUCCCCUCCUCCUCUCCCUCUCCCGUCAGAUUCACCAUGCCUUCCCAGUACAAUUCCCUUUCCUAUUCAUGUAUAAAUUAUAUUGUUCUUAAUUUCAGUUAUUUGGUUGCAUAGCUCAUUGUUUUUACCUGUUGACAGUGCGAUUGGUCGCCUAUCUAUGGAUUGUUCGUGGGUUCUUGAUUGCUCUGGUUUUACCCCCCAAAAGUGUAAUGCUCUUUUAUUUUUAUUUUCGAAUUGUGUUUGAUGCAAACAUUAGUUUUACUUGUAUAGGGUAGAAGUUGAGAGAAAACUUCUUAAAACAUUGGUGCAGAACAAGGUUAUCUUUUCUUCUUCUGGUAUGUUCUUGUCAUCCAGAUUAUGAUCUUGUUGUUUGCUCGAGUCAUGAGGACUGUACACGUAGGAAAUAUGAGAAGAGGAAGAAGCAACAAUAUAAAAUUUAUUAAGAAGCUGAAGGUUUCAUAUUAGCCUCUUGCUUUGCAUAAUAAACCAUAGUAAGAUCCUUUUGUAGAUCAUGUUGUAGUUUACCCAUCACCCAAAAGAAUGUCACAUCAACUGCAGAAUUGUGACAAUUCAUAUUUAAUCUUCAGUAGAGUAUCAACCAUCCAAGAUGCAUUUUAUGGACUUAGGCUGUACAUUUUUUUUGGUUACUGAAUCUGUUCCAUAGUAGCAAUUGGAUGUGUUCAUAUAUUACUAUCCUAUUACCCAAUAAGUAUGCCUAUGCUUGAUUUGUACGCAUUCUGUUAAUUCUCAUGAUUAUUUUAAUUUAUGUUUGAGAUCAGAAAGUAAUUAUUGAUGCAGAAGUACAAUAUUUGUUCCCCUUUUCCUGUUUUGCACUCUGGAGCAAAAUAUAUGGGGGGGGUCCUGAUGAGCAUUUUCUACUUUCGAAGAUUUGGGCGAACGUAAAAGCAAAAAAUCAAAGAUGUUCAUCUAUCUGAACGUCACCUUACUUUGAUGCUCUGAUCUCAAGGAAGUAUUGUUCUGUGGUGGUGGUCUGCUAUCAAAACCAAAGUGGCAUGCAUGUAGAAAUAUGUAUGGAGAAUAUUAUUCCUCCCCUGCAAAUGUACUAACAUCCAGACUUAACCAACAGUGCAUCUGCUGGGAUAUGUACAACAAUCGAGCGAGCUCUGAGCCAACCAUCGACACGUAAAGCAUCUUUUGUGUGCAUCGGAGUUUAUGCUGCUUCUGAAUUUUUUUCAUUUGUGCAUCUUUUGUCUAUAUAACUUGUAAAGCGCGUGUGUUAGCUUAGUUAAGGUGUUUGGUCCAUAUUUCCAUACGAAUUUCUUUCAUGUAAGAAUCUUGGUCUAUGUAAACUACAUAAGCCGAUGUCUGGUAUUUCAUGGGAUCCAAAACUGA